This 460-nucleotide ribosomal RNA is filed under the name uncultured bacterium. RNAcentral describes it as "partial 16S ribosomal RNA". It matches the Rfam family "Bacterial small subunit ribosomal RNA", at positions 338 to 795 of the family's 1533-position model. The record is from RNAcentral.
CCUACGGGAGGCUGCAGUGAGGAAUAUUGGUCAAUGGACGAGAGUCUGAACCAGCCAAGCCGCGUGAAUGAUGACUGCCCUCUGGUUUGUAAACUUCUUUGAUAUGGGAAUAAAACAGGGUAUGCAUACCCUCGUGUAUUUACCUUAUGAAUAAGGAUCGGCUAACUCCGUGCCAGCAGCCGCGGUAAUACGGAGGGUCCGAUCGUUACCCGGAUUGAAUGGGUUUAAAGGGAGCGUAGGUGGGUGGUUAAGUCAGUUGUGAAAGUUUGCGGCUCAACCGUAAAAGUGCAGUUGAAACUGGCAGUCUUGAGUACAGUAGAGGUGGGCGGAAUGCGUGGUGUAGCGGUGAAAUGCUUAGAUAUCACGAAGAACUCCGAUUGCGAAGGCAGCUCACUGGACUGCAACUGACACUGAUGCUCGAAAGUGUGGGUAUCAAACAGGAUUAGAUACCCUUGUAGUC